GUGCCAGCCGCCGCGGUAAUACGAGUAGCGCAAGUGUUAUUCCUCUUGAUUGGGCGUAAAGGGUGCGUAGGUGGUAUAAUAAGUUGGAAAUUAAAAACUAUGCUAGUGUAUUGUAGAUUUCUAAUACUAUUAUACUAGAGUAAUGGUAAAGAUAGUGGAACUUCUCGCAUUAGAGUUGAAAUGCGUUGACACGAGAAGGAACCCCAAAGGCGAAGGCAACUAUCUAAUCAUUUCUGACAUUGAGGCACGAAGGCAUGGGUAUCAAAUAGGAUUAGAGACCCUAGUAGUCCAUGCAGUCAACUAUGAGUAUUAAAUGUUAGAUAUUUAUAUCUAAUGUUACAGCUUACGCGUUAAAUACUCCGCCUGGGGACUACGAUCGCAAGAUUAAAACCUUAAGAAAUUGACGGAGGUUAGAUACAAGCGGUGGAGCAUGUGGKUUAAUUUGAUAAAACGCGUAGAAUCUUACCAGUUCUUGCUAUCCUUAAACUUAUAGAUCCUUUAUUUAUGAGAUAAAAUCUUAUAAAUAAACAUCUCUUGAAUAAUAUAAAAUUAUUUUCUUGCUUUUUAUUUAAAUAGUAUAGUUUAUUAUUAUUAUUUAAAAUAAAAAUAGUUUUUGGACAGAUGCUGCAUGGCUGUCGUAAUUCCGUGCUGUGAAGUGUUAGAUUGAGUUCUUACAACGGAAAGAACCCCUAUUUUUAGUUGUUGUAUUUAUAUAGAGAAACUAAAAAAAUCACUUACAUAAUGUAAGAUGAAAGUGGGGACGACGUCAAGUCAUCAUGGCUCGUAUGGACUGGGCCACACAUGUGCUACAAUGGUAAAGACAAAAAGAAGCAAAGAUGUGAAUCUGAGCAAAUCUAUUAAAAUUUACCUUAGUUCGGAUCGUUCUCUGAAAUUCGAGAACGUAAAGUAGGAAUCGCUAGUAAUCGUGGAUAAGAACGCCACGGUGAAUCUGUUAUCUAACCUUGGACUCACCGCCCGUCAA
This 982-nucleotide ribosomal RNA is filed under the name uncultured organism. RNAcentral describes it as "SSU rRNA". It matches the Rfam family "Bacterial small subunit ribosomal RNA", at positions 505 to 1400 of the family's 1533-position model. The record is from RNAcentral.